RNAcentral lists this ribosomal RNA (396 nucleotides) under Pomatorhinus ochraceiceps. RNAcentral describes it as "partial 12S ribosomal RNA". It matches the Rfam family "Bacterial small subunit ribosomal RNA", at positions 542 to 1103 of the family's 1533-position model. The record is from RNAcentral. Lineage: Eukaryota; Metazoa; Chordata; Aves; Passeriformes; Timaliidae.
AAAUCAACUUUAUAACGGCGUAAAGAGUGGUCACAUGCUAUCCAAGUAACUAAGAUCAAAAAGCAACUGAGUUGUCGCAAGCCCAAGAUGCGCAUAAGGCCGCUAUUCAAAGAAAAUCUUAGACUACCGAUUAAUUGAAGCCACGAAAGCCAGGACCCAAACUGGGAUUAGAUACCCCACUAUGCCUGGCCCUAAAUCUUGAUGCUCGAUCUAACCGGAGCAUCCGCCAGAGAACUACGAGCACAAACGCUUAAAACUCUAAGGACUUGGCGGUGCUCCAAACCCACCUAGAGGAGCCUGUCCUGUAAUCGAUGAUCCACGAUAUACCUGACCAUCUCUUGCCAAAAACAGCCUAUAUACCGCCGUCUCCAGCCCACCCACCAUGAAGGCCCAACA